CCUGGCCCUUGUUGACAUCACUGAUGCACACCCACUGCCCGUCGACUGACUCCUUCCACAGGGUUACCUGCAAGCCAGCACACACACAGGCAGGUGCGGUUCUUCCGGAGGGAAGCGAGCGCUAGGAUGACACCCAGCACCACAAGAGGGGAUUGGAGGUGAACCUGUGGGGUCAACCACUGGGAAUCUGACGGCGAAGGGGCUUCCAACACUCAGAUCUUCGCAGACCUAGUUCCUACCUGCAGAAUCCAACCAGUCCCAGGGAACAGUCUGACCAGGGAACUUGCUGCUGGUAAGGUGCUCCAUCCUCCCAAGGAAGCUAGAGGCCCUCCCUUCACCUGGCAACUAGCACCACACCACGGCCUCCAUCUCAGAGCUGCAUCUACCCAGCCACUAUCUGCACGAUGGCCCUUCUCCCGCAUGACGAUGUGGAGCCGGUGAUGGAGGAGAAGAUCAAUGCCCUCAUCAAAGCAGCUGGAGUAAAUGCUGAACCUUUCUGGCCAGGCUUGUUUGCAAAGGCUCUGGCCAGUGCCAACACUGGGAGUCUCAUCUGCCAUGCAGGGGCUGGUGGACCUGCCCCAGCUGAGGAGGAGAAAGUGGAAGCAAAGAAAGGAGACUCUGAAGAGUCUGAUGAUGUCACGGGCUCUGGUCUUUUUGACUAAACUUCUUUUGUAACAUAUUCAAUAAAAAACAGAACUUUGUUAAA
This is a long non-coding RNA of Eptesicus fuscus (big brown bat), 706 nucleotides long. RefSeq lists it as uncharacterized. The record is from RefSeq and is a predicted model, not a curated record. NCBI's taxonomy places the organism in Eukaryota, Metazoa, Chordata, Mammalia, Chiroptera, Vespertilionidae. The transcript has 3 exons.